This 1466-nucleotide ribosomal RNA is filed under the name uncultured bacterium. RNAcentral describes it as "bacterial SSU rRNA". It matches the Rfam family "Bacterial small subunit ribosomal RNA". The record is from RNAcentral.
CUCAGGACGAACGCUGGCGGCGUGCUUAACACAUGCAAGUCGAACGGAAAGGCCCUGCUUUUGUGGGGUGCUCGAGUGGCGAACGGGUGAGUAACACGUGAGUACCUGCCCUUGACUUUGGGAUAACUUCAGGAAACUGGGGCUAAUACCGGAUAGGAGCUCCUGCUGCAUGGUGGGGGUUGGAAAGUUUCGGCGGUUGGGGAUGGACUCGCGGCUUAUCAGCUUGUUGGUGGGGUAGUGGCUUACCAAGGCUUUGACGGGUAGCCGGCCUGAGAGGGUGACCGGCCACAUUGGGACUGAGAUACGGCCCAGACUCCUACGGGAGGCAGCAGUGGGGAAUAUUGCACAAUGGGCGGAAGCCUGAUGCAGCAACGCCGCGUGCGGGAUGACGGCCUUCGGGUUGUAAACCGCUUUCGCCUGUGACGAAGCGUGAGUGACGGUAAUGGGUAAAGAAGCACCGGCUAACUACGUGCCAGCAGCCGCGGUGAUACGUAGGGUGCGAGCGUUGUCCGGAUUUAUUGGGCGUAAAGGGCUCGUAGGUGGUUGAUCGCGUCGGAAGUGUAAUCUUGGGGCUUAACCCUGAGCGUGCUUUCGAUACGGGUUGACUUGAGGAAGGUAGGGGAGAAUGGAAUUCCUGGUGGAGCGGUGGAAUGCGCAGAUAUCAGGAGGAACACCAGUGGCGAAGGCGGUUCUCUGGGCCUUUCCUGACGCUGAGGAGCGAAAGCGUGGGGAGCGAACAGGCUUAGAUACCCUGGUAGUCCACGCUGUAAACGGUGGGUACUAGAUGUGGGGUCCAUUCCACGGGUUCCGUGCCGUAGCUAACGCUUUAAGUACCCCGCCUGGGGAGUACGGCCGCAAGGCUAAAACUCAAAGAAAUUGACGGGGCCCCGCACAAGCGGCGGAGCAUGCGGAUUAAUUCGAUGCAACGCGUAGAACCUUACCUGGGUUUGACAUGGAUCGGGAGUGCUCAGAGAUGGGUGUGCCUCUUUUGGGGUCGGUUCACAGGUGGUGCAUGGCUGUCGUCAGCUCGUGUCGUGAGAUGUUGGGUUAAGUCCCGCAACGAGCGCAACCCUUGUUCACUGUUGCCAGCACGUUAUGGUGGGGACUCAGUGGAGACCGCCGGGGUCAACUCGGAGGAAGGUGGGGAUGACGUCAAGUCAUCAUGCCCCUUAUGUCCAGGGCUUCACGCAUGCUACAAUGGCUGGUACAGAGAGUGGCGAGCCUGUGAGGGUGAGCGAAUCUCGGAAAGCCGGUCUCAGUUCGGAUUGGGGUCUGCAACUCGACCUCAUGAAGUCGGAGUCGCUAGUAAUCGCAGAUCAGCAACGCUGCGGUGAAUACGUUCCCGGGGCUUGUACACACCGCCCGUCAAGUCAUGAAAGUUGGUAACACCCGAAGCCGGUGGCCUAACCGUUGUGGGGGAGCCGUCGAAGGUGGGACUGGUGAUUAGGACUAAGUCGUAACAAGGU